GAUGAACGCUGGCGGCGUGCCUAAUACAUGCAAGUCGAACGGGGAUAGCAAUAUCCUAGUGGCGAACGGGUGAGUAACACGUAGGUAACCUGCCUUUUAGUUUGGGAUACCCAGAGGAAACUUUGGUUAAUACCGGAUAUGAGCUUUAGAGGCAUCUCUAGAGCUUGAAAGGGGCUUCAAAGCCCCGCUUUAAGAUGGACCUGCGGCGCAUUAGCUAGUUGGUGAGAUAACAGCCCACCAAGGCUCGGAUGCGUAGCCGAUCUGAGAGGAUGAACGGCCACAUUGGAACUGAGACACGGUCCAAACUCCUACGGGAGGCAGCAGUAAGGAAUUUUCGGCAAUGGGGGAAACCCUGACCGAGCAACGCCGCGUGAGUGACGAAGGUCUUUUGAUCGUAAAGCUCUGUUGUUAGGGAUGAACUAUACUUUUAGGAAAUGAGGAGUAUUUGACAGUACCUAACCAGAAAGCCACGGCUAACUACGUGCCAGCAGCCGCGGUAAUACGUAGGUGGCAAGCGUUAUCCGGAAUUAUUGGGCGUAAAGAGUGAGCAGGCGGCAGUUUAAGUCUGGAGUGAAAGCGUGAGGCUCAACUUCAUACAGCUCCAGAAACUGAACAGCUAGAGUACGAGAGAAGUAAGUGGAAUUCCAUGUGUAGCGGUGAAAUGCGUAGAUAUAUGGAGGAACACCAGUGGCGAAGGCGACUUACUAGCUCGAGACUGACGCUCAGUCACGAAAGCGUGGGUAGCAAAUAGGAUUAGAUACCCUAGUAGUCCACGCCGUAAACGAUGAAAACUAAGUAUUGCCGCGAGGCAGUGCUGUAGCUAACGCAUUAAGUUUUCCGCCUGGGGAGUACGCUCGCGAGAGUGAAACUUAA
This 873-nucleotide ribosomal RNA is filed under the name uncultured bacterium. RNAcentral's name for it is "bacterial SSU rRNA". It matches the Rfam family "Bacterial small subunit ribosomal RNA", at positions 28 to 904 of the family's 1533-position model. The record is from RNAcentral.